GUGUUGCUCAGGCAGCACAUCUAAUAAAUUGGAUUCGAUAAAGAAGAUUAGCAUGGCACCCUGCAAAAGGAUGACACGCACAAUCGUGAAGCGUAUCCAAUUUUG
RNAcentral lists this small nuclear RNA (105 nucleotides) under Larimichthys crocea (large yellow croaker). The record is from RNAcentral. Lineage: Eukaryota; Metazoa; Chordata; Actinopteri; Sciaenidae.